RNAcentral lists this unclassified non-coding RNA (283 nucleotides) under Hevea brasiliensis (rubber tree). Lineage: Eukaryota; Viridiplantae; Streptophyta; Magnoliopsida; Malpighiales; Euphorbiaceae. The record is from RNAcentral.
GAAUGUUCCCUAUUGACUCCUUGAUUCGAAUCUGUGGAAAAACCUAAACUAACAGAAGUACUACAAUGACCAACUACACAUUUAUCGUGCACAAUCACUGCAUCCUCCUUCGGGACUGACGUUCCACCAUCAUGUAUAAUACCAGGGCGAUUUCCUUUUGAAUGCCAAAGAGACGAUUUAAGAUCCUCAUUUUUAACAGCCAAUGAAGACUGACUGUCUGGAUGACAAGUAGAAGUUCCUUGAGAUGAUCCUCCAACCCAACCAUGCAGCGAAAACUUUGAAC